AGCGAACGCUGGCGGCAGGCUUAACACAUGCAAGUCGAGCGGCCAUCCUUGUGGUGUUAGCGGCAGACGGGGGAGUAACGCGUGGGAACGUGCCCUACGGUUCGGAAUAACUCAGGGAAACUUGAGCUAAUACCGGAUACGUGCGAGAGCAGAAUGGUUUAUCUGCCGAAGAGUCGGCGCGCGUCUGAUUAGCUAGUUGGUGAGGUUACGGCUCACCAAUGCGACGAUCAGUAGCUGGUCUGAGAGGAUGAUCAGCCACACUGGGACUGGGACACGGCCCAGACUCCUGCGGGAGGCAGCAGUGGGGAAUAUUGGCCAAUGGGGUCAACCCUGAUCCAGCCAUGCCGCGUGAGUGAUGACGGCCUUAGGGUUGUAAAGCUCUUUUCUCCGGGACGAUAAUGACGGUACCGGAGGAAUAAGCCCCGGCUAACUUCGUG
RNAcentral lists this ribosomal RNA (437 nucleotides) under uncultured bacterium. RNAcentral describes it as "partial 16S ribosomal RNA". It matches the Rfam family "Bacterial small subunit ribosomal RNA", at positions 29 to 507 of the family's 1533-position model. The record is from RNAcentral.